CAAAACAUGGCCGCCGUCGGAGAAAGUCUGAUGCUCGAGAGAGACAUCAAGCGGGCCUGCGAGCUUCUCGAGAAACUUCAGCGCAGUGGCGAAGUCCCAGCGCAGAAGCUCGCUGCCCUACAAAAGGUUCUCCAGAGUGAAUUCUGCAACGCCGUGCGCGAGGUUUACGAACAUGUCUACGAAACUGUCGACAUCUCCGGUAGUCCCGACAUUCGAGCCAGUGCCACAGCCAAGGCAACAGUGGCAGCAUUUGCAGCGAGCGAAGGCCACGCGCACCCUCGGGUUGUGGAACUGCCCAAGACCGACGAGGGGCUUGGCUUCAACGUGAUGGGGGGCAAGGAACAGAAUUCGCCCAUCUACAUAUCGCGUAUCAUCCCAGGGGGUGUGGCUGACCGUCAUGGGGCCCUCAAGCGCGGUGAUCAGCUGCUCUCGGUCAACGGUGUGAGUGUGGAAGGCGAGAACCACGAGAAGGCAGUGGAGCUCCUGAAGGCAGCCCAGGGUACGGUCAAGCUCGUUGUUCGCUACACCCCCAAAGUACUGGAGGAGAUGGAGAUGCGGUUCGACAAGCAGCGUGCCACUCGCCGUCGGCUGCCAUGAAAUUAAUGAAGAGUUCUCUGGAAGGGAUUCUCCAAUCUGAGGAUUCGCCAAGACUAGGUAUCAAGAUGAUUGACCAUACGAAGCUUGCAGUUAAUGAAGAGGAGGAAGCCAUUGGGGGCAUUAUUUGUACUUAUUAAUUUAAGCGUGGCAACAAUGAAAUUAAAGGAAAAUGUGUUAACAUGAACGAAAAAGAAGAC
Molecule: unclassified non-coding RNA, 794 nt
Filed under: Rhipicephalus microplus (southern cattle tick)
Lineage: Eukaryota; Metazoa; Arthropoda; Arachnida; Ixodida; Ixodidae
Description: protein lin-7 homolog C, transcript variant X3
Source: RNAcentral